RNAcentral lists this ribosomal RNA (500 nucleotides) under uncultured bacterium. RNAcentral's name for it is "bacterial SSU rRNA". It matches the Rfam family "Bacterial small subunit ribosomal RNA", at positions 1007 to 1513 of the family's 1533-position model. The record is from RNAcentral.
GAGCCGGCUGCCUUCGGGUGAAACGUGGACAGGUGCUGCAUGGCUGUCGUCAGCUCGUGCUGUGAAGUGUCGGGUUAAGUCCCUUAACGAGCGAAACCCUUGUCGCUAGUUGCCAGCGGGUCAUGCCGGGAACUCUAGCGAGACUGCCGGCGUUAAGCCGGAGGAAGGUGGGGACGACGUCAAGUCAUCAUGGCCUUUAUGCCCAGGGUGUCACACGUGCUACAAUGGGGUGUACAGAGCGACGCAAGACCGUAAGGUGGAGCAAAUCGCAGAAAACAUCCCUCAGUUCGGAUUGAGGUCUGCAACCCGACCUCAUGAAGCCGGAAUCGCUAGUAAUCGCGCAUCAGCCAUGGCGCGGUGAAUGAGUUCCUGAGCCUUGUACACACCGCCCGUCAAGUCAUGGGAGCUGGGAGUUCCCGAAGUCGCAACGAUUCGGUUGUGCCGACGGAAAGCCCGGUGACUGGGACUAAGUCGUAACAAGGUAGCCCGUAGGGGAACCC